GACGAACGCUGGCGGCGUGCUUAACACAUGCAAGUCGAACGGAAAGGCCCUGCUUUUGUGGGGUGCUCGAGUGGCGAACGGGUGAGUAACACGUGAGUAACCUGCCCUUGACUUUGGGAUAACUUCAGGGAACUGGGGCUAAUACCGGAUAGGAGCUCCUGCUGCAUGGUGGGGGUUGGAAAGUUUCGGCGGUUGGGGAUGGACUCGCGGCUUAUCAGCUUGUUGGUGGGGUAGUGGCUUACCAAGGCUUUGACGGGUAGCCGGCCUGAGAGGGUGACCGGCCACAUUGGGACUGAGAUACGGCCCAGACUCCUACGGGAGGCAGCAGUGGGGAAUAUUGCACAAUGGGCGGAAGCCUGAUGCAGCAACGCCGCGUGCGGGAUGACGGCCUUCGGGUUGUAAACCGCUUUCGCCUGUGACGAAGCGUGAGUGACGGUAAUGGGUAAAGAAGCACCGGCUAACUACAUG
Molecule: ribosomal RNA, 468 nt
Filed under: uncultured bacterium
Lineage: Bacteria
Description: partial 16S ribosomal RNA
Rfam family: Bacterial small subunit ribosomal RNA
Source: RNAcentral